GACGAACGCUGGCGGCGUGCUUAACACAUGCAGGUCGAACGGAAAGGCCCUGCUUUUGUGGGGUGCUCGAGUGGCGAACGGGUGAGUAACACGUGAGUAACCUGCCCUUGACUUUGGGAUAACUUCAGGAAACUGGGGCUAAUACCGGAUAGGAGCUCCUGCUGCAUGGUGGGGGUUGGAAAGUUUCGGCGGUUGGGGAUGGACUCGCGGCUUAUCAGCUUGUUGGUGGGGUAGUGGCUUACCAAGGCUUUGACGGGUAGCCGGCCUGAGAGGGUGACCGGCCACAUUGGGAAUGAGAUACGGCCCAGACUCCUACGGGAGGCAGCAGUGGGGAAUAUUGCACAAUGGGCGGAAGCCUGAUGCAGCAACGCCGCGUGCGGGAUGACGGCCUUCGGGUUGUAAACCGCUUUCGCCUGUGGCGAAGCGUGAGUGACGGUAAUGGGUAAAGAAGCACCGGCUAACUACGUG
Molecule: ribosomal RNA, 468 nt
Filed under: uncultured bacterium
Lineage: Bacteria
Description: partial 16S ribosomal RNA
Rfam family: Bacterial small subunit ribosomal RNA
Source: RNAcentral